This is a long non-coding RNA of Anolis carolinensis (green anole), 1921 nucleotides long. RefSeq lists it as uncharacterized. Lineage: Eukaryota; Metazoa; Chordata; Lepidosauria; Squamata; Anolidae. The record is from RefSeq and is a predicted model, not a curated record. The transcript is spliced from 4 exons.
GAGAAUGCUUUGCCAUCUGCCAUAAACAGUCAUGACAAGCCUCCAUCGAUCCCAGAGAAAAUGUAGGCAGUCCUUCAAGCAUUGGACUGAAGUUCUAAGAACCUGAUUGGCAAUAUUUUCCCAAUAAAGUUCCUGGUUGGCAUUGGCAAUAUUUAUUAUCCCAUUUACAGUGAUACAGUGAUGACAAUCCCAGGAUGAUAGAGCAUGGGAAUGCUUUGCCAUCUGCAUAAGCUGUCAUUGCAAGUCUCCACCAACCCCAGGAAGAGAAGUGAAGAGCCCACAACUGAACACAGUACACCAGAUGAGGUCUGACCAGCACAUAAUAUGAUGGAUGCUAAAGGAAAGUACAGCAACAGAUGAGCACACUGCCCAUUACACAGCAUCACUGGACUUCCUGUUGAAGCCACAACAAGAGUGGAAUGUUACCGGUAGCUGUUCCAGGUUGGAUCAUCUGUUCAUUUUUUGAAAUGUUUUCUUCACAUCAUCAUCCAAAUAUGAAAGGACAGACCUUACAGCACUCCACUUGAGAUCUCCUUCCAAUCUGAAGCAUAGUCAUUUUUAGCAUGGUUGUCGAAGUAAUUGUGGAUCCAGCUUAUGGUGUUUCCAGGUAUUCCAUGUUUAGUCAAUUUGCUAAUCAAAAUAGCAUGGAGAACUUUAUGAAUUGCUUUUCUGGAAUAAAUCCUGUAAUGCAAGAGUUUGCCUUCCCCAAUUCUUCUAAUAUUUGAUAGGUUUAGUAUACUCAGGAAUUGAAGUUUUGUUUCUUUUGUAGUAAGUCUAUACUUUUUUUGUGCAUUCUCCUUUUGUGCACUGCAGGAAGUGCUUAGUUGGAGUGUUUCUGAUUCACUUUUGCAUCAUUUGCUCCUGAUGAUAACAGGAUGUUCUAUGAGUGUUACCACCCUCUUCAUUUUCAUAGGUUUUUUUCUGAUUGGUUAUAUUAGUUCUACCUUUGUUCUAACCAGGACAUCCUUGUGUUCUCUGAUGUAUUGUAAAGUCUCCACAAUGAGUUACCUUCUCCUCUAAGAAAGCCAUCAGUUGGAACUUGCUGCAACUUUAGUAAGUGAUGUUUUCUGGCAAGGAGACAAAUAUUUCACGCACACUGCAGCAGGCAUUGACAGAUCCUUCUUUUCCCAUCCCUGCAGUUAUUUUCUUUCAUUUUAAAACUCUAAUAACUCUUAUUGACAUGGCUGCAUGUACCUCAAGGUGCUCUCCACUGGCCCUCAGAGACUGAACUCCAAAGACUGAGGCAGCAGUUAUAAGGGGCUAAUGUCUGCUAACUUCACUUCCUAGCAAGUUGGUGACUCCGAAGAACUCAUGCUCCAUUAUACCAUAUGCCUGUGAAGUACAAGCAGCUCAAAACAAAACACACAAAAAGCCCUAAAAUGUCAAAUAGUCAAUAAUGACUCAUCAAAAUGCAACUCACCUUUUAUUCUAUCUUCACAGAUCUCCAAAGACUGAGACAUCAUUUAUAUAGUUCUAGUGACUGUUGUGUGCCCAAGCAAUUGAUAAAGUGAAGCAUAAAAGCUGUGCAUGAGUAGAAAAUUGCCAUUCUAUUUGUACUCCCAAACCACUGAUACAGAGAGGCAUAUAACAUUUCGUAUUAAGAGUGAAUAUAUAUUCAAUAUAAACAACAGACACUGAUUUCCAAUCCUCUAAGAAUUUGCUCAAUUUUGAUCUGAUCCACCAUAUGACAAUACUAUCAUUAACACGUAUCUAAUGUCUAAAAUGUUAGUUAUGUUCAGCCAUUAAAAAGGAGAUGAGUUAACUUAAUUGUGGAGACAUUAUGCAUUUAUUGACCAUAACUCAACAGGAUUACCUUAAUUGAUACCAUUAUAUCAUUUAAGAUCUAUGUUUCUAUGCUGGUAAAUAAAAGAAAAACUUACAAAACUAACUAAAAAUCAGUGUUGUUGUAUGUCUUUCGGGC